UGCCAGCAGCCGCGGUAAUACGGAGGGUGCAAGCGUUAAUCGGAAUUACUGGGCGUAAAGGGUACGUAGGCGGUUUGAUAAGUUGGAUGUGAAAGCCCCGGGCUCAACCUGGGAACUGCAUUCAAAACUGUCAGACUAGAGUGUAUAAGAGGUUAGCGGAAUUCCAGGUGUAGCAGUGAAAUGCGUAGAUAUCUGGAGGAACAUCAGUGGCGAAGGCGGCUGACUGGUAUAACACUGACGCUGAGGUACGAAAGCGUGGGUAGCGAACGGGAUUAGAUA
Molecule: ribosomal RNA, 279 nt
Filed under: uncultured bacterium
Lineage: Bacteria
Description: partial 16S ribosomal RNA
Rfam family: Bacterial small subunit ribosomal RNA
Source: RNAcentral